Molecule: transfer RNA, 127 nt
Filed under: Halorubrum ezzemoulense
Lineage: Archaea; Methanobacteriati; Methanobacteriota; Halobacteria; Halobacteriales; Haloferacaceae
Also listed under: 3 other names
Description: tRNA-Thr
Rfam family: tRNA (bases 61-127)
About the family: Transfer RNA (tRNA) molecules are approximately 80 nucleotides in length. Their secondary structure includes four short double-helical elements and three loops (D, anti-codon, and T loops).
Source: RNAcentral
GGGACGGUGGAAGAGCCUGGCAUUCACACACUCUCGCCGAAUUUUCACCGGAGAUCCGGUGCGACGGUGAGAGUUCCUUCAUCUCACUUGUAACGAGAACACGCAGGUUCGAAUCCUGCCCGUCCCA